UUUGGCAAUGGGGGCAACCCUGACCGAGCACGCCGCGUGAGUGAAGAAGGUUUUCGGAUCGUAAAGCUCUGUUGUAAGAGAAGAACGUGUGUGAGAGUGGAAAGUUCACACAGUGACGGUAACUUACCAGAAAGGGACGGCUAACUACGUGCCAGCAGCCGCGGUAAUA
This 169-nucleotide ribosomal RNA is filed under the name uncultured Streptococcus sp. RNAcentral's name for it is "partial 16S ribosomal RNA". It matches the Rfam family "Bacterial small subunit ribosomal RNA", at positions 364 to 525 of the family's 1533-position model. The record is from RNAcentral. Lineage: Bacteria; Bacillati; Bacillota; Bacilli; Lactobacillales; Streptococcaceae.